Molecule: long non-coding RNA, 210 nt
Organism: Octopus sinensis (East Asian common octopus)
Lineage: Eukaryota; Metazoa; Mollusca; Cephalopoda; Octopoda; Octopodidae
Exons: 3
Source: RefSeq, a predicted model, not a curated record
UCUUUUGCCGAACCGCUAAGUGACGGGGACGUAAACACACCAGCAUCUCAGUUAGUCGAAUUAGCCCUUCGUUUACUCCACAAAUAUUUUGUCGUCAAUGCUGCACUUCCUCGUAUCACAUGUUUCAACUUAACUGUACCAUAUAUACAAACUACACCAUUUAAAUCCCGAGCAACGCCGGGUAUGUCUGCUAGUAUAUAUAUAUAUAUA